GUGCUCGCUUUGGUAGUACAUAUACCAAAAUUGGAACAAUACAGAGAAGAUUAGCAUGGCCUCUGAGCAAGGAUGACACACAAAUUCGUGAAGCAGUGAAGCAUUAA
RNAcentral lists this small nuclear RNA (107 nucleotides) under Jaculus jaculus (lesser Egyptian jerboa). The record is from RNAcentral. Lineage: Eukaryota; Metazoa; Chordata; Mammalia; Rodentia; Dipodidae.